GUCGUGAAAAUUAUGAGCAGAGAACUACAAAUGGGCAGUUCAGGAUUUGUCCUAGGGGUGCACACGGACCCGACUAAACCGCCAAAACCGCCCGACCCGAUCAAGAACACCGAACCCGAAGUACAAAAUGUCCUUGAACGGUAAGUGUAUUCUAAACCCGAGCUAUCUACGGCGCCACUCGGUUGUAUGUUGUUACCGACCGACCUCACCCUAAACCGACCGAUCAAAAAGAUCUAUGGUUAAUAAAACCCUAUACCUCCAUAUAAAUACUUCUCUUAAUACUCUCGUCCAGCCACCAACCCUACAUCUCAUUUAUUCUUCUUUAUUCUCCCAUUUCUCUCGAGAGCAAAACUAGGGUUGCCGAAGAGGCGACUCCAUUUUCUUCUCAUCUUCAACCUUUUAUCUUCUUUACUAACUCCAACGCUCACCUAGCUACAUCACGGUCAUCAUCUCCAGUUGCUGCUGAUAUUUGUUGAUAAUCAGAUGGAGUCUACAGGUGCUGCUUGGAAGAACCUCUAGAAUAUCUAUCAUUUUGGAAUUUACAUGUUGAAGAAUAAAACCUUAGUCUGCUAGCUAUCAUUUGUUUAUUCGUUCAUUCUUUAUUCAUUCAUUUUUUUCUUACAGAAGUAUCAAAACAGUCUAGUAACUCUAGUUUGCUUCAAGUUGCUUUCAAUUUGCUUGGAUUAUUAUCAGUUUAUUUAGAGAUUUUUCAUUCUGCUUAAAGAUUAUUAUCAGUUUGAUUGUUGAAUUUAUUAUUAUUCUUAGCAAA
Long non-coding RNA from Papaver somniferum (opium poppy), 769 nucleotides. RefSeq lists it as uncharacterized. The transcript is spliced from 2 exons. NCBI's taxonomy places the organism in Eukaryota, Viridiplantae, Streptophyta, Magnoliopsida, Ranunculales, Papaveraceae. The record is from RefSeq and is a predicted model, not a curated record.